AGUGGCUUAGUGUUUGGCUGCUAACCAAAAGGUUGGCAGUUCAAAUCCACCAGCCACUC
This 59-nucleotide transfer RNA is filed under the name Loxodonta africana (African savanna elephant). The record is from Rfam by way of RNAcentral. Lineage: Eukaryota; Metazoa; Chordata; Mammalia; Proboscidea; Elephantidae.